RNAcentral lists this non-coding RNA (21 nucleotides) under Mus musculus (house mouse). Lineage: Eukaryota; Metazoa; Chordata; Mammalia; Rodentia; Muridae. RNAcentral also lists the same sequence under 1 other name. The record is from RNAcentral.
CCAUGUUCUGAAAAGAGAGGG